GGACCAUCACUGCGCGAGCCAACAGCUACUGAUUCCCCCCCAAAUUCUCUCGCUCUCGCUUUCCUCUCGAAUGGCCGCUCACAACCUCGCGGUGAUCCUCCGGAGCUCCUCCAGCGUCGCCCGGUUCCUCCUCGCCAAGCAGCGGCGGCCCCCGGCGUUCGGCGACGAGGAGUACGACUCCUACGUCGAUUCCGACCUCUGGGACCUGCCCUCCGCCCCGCUGAGCCCCCUCGCGGGGCGGCCCGGCGAGGUCCGCGUCCGCCUCGGAGGCGCGGCCGCGGCGUGCUCGGAGAAGGUCGAUUUGGGACGGUUCGAUGUGGAUUCCGCCGUCGUCCAGGGCCUGGGGCUUGUUGGACUGGAGGUUUCCGAUGUGGGAGAGUGGAAAUUCUUCAAGUAUGUUGAAGAAGCGGAGUUCGGGCCGGGAUUACCUGUUAAUACGGUCUUUAUCGAGGGCAAAUUGAUCGCUGGGGACUGUAAUUUACCAGAGUCAUGUAAAUGGAUGUCCGUUGAAAGUUGCCUAGAUUGGCUCGUGGACGUGAAACCAAGUAGUGAUCGCGUUGGACCUUUAACGGUUCUCGGUCUAAUAAAUGACUCUAUGCCACCAUCCAAAUUUAAGGUCCCGUCAACGUUAAUUUAUCAGGAGUAUCCUCCAGGUGUUGUAGUUGUUCCUAUGGGAAGUCGGACAGCAAAGCCUUUUCACACCACCAAUUUAGUGGUGUUUGCACCUGCGAGUAGUUCAGAUGAAUGUGGGGAAGGUAAUUUUAUUAUGUCAGGAGAUGCUCUCAUAGUUGAUCCAGGUUGCCGAUCCCAACACCAUGAAGAGCUUGGGAAAAUUGUUGCUGUCUUGCCAAGAAAGUUGAUUGUGUUUCUCACCCAUCAUCACCAUGAUCACAUUGAAGGUCUCUCAGUCGUUCAGAGAUGCAACAGUGAUGCCAUCUUGUUAGCACAUAAAAACACCAUCUCUCGCAUUCAGAAAGAUGUUUGGUCUCUUGGUUCCACUCCAGUUUCGGGAGCAGAAGACAUCUGCAUUGGUGGUCAGAGGUUAAGUAUAAUUUUUGCACCGGGUCAUACGGAUGGACAUCUGGCACUAUUACACAACAGUACUCACUCACUCAUAGUAGGUGAUCAUUGUUUGGGCCAAGGAAGUUCAAUACUGGAUGUUACUUCUGGUGGAAAUAUCUUUGAUUACUUCCAAUCAACAUACAAAUUCAUGGAGCUUUCUCCACAUGCUCUCAUCCCCAUGCACGGGAGAGUCAACCUGUGGCCAAAGCACAUGCUUUGUGGAUAUCUGAAGAAUCGUAGGCAGAGAGAGGAAUCCAUAUUGAAAGCUAUAGAAGAUGGAGCGCAGACAUUAUUUGACAUUGUUGCAAAUGUCUAUUCUGGGGUUGAUCGCAGUUUUUGGCCUCAUGCUACGUUCAAUGUGAGGGUUCACGUGGAUCAUUUGGCCCAACAAGAUAAGUUACCAAAGGACUUUUCAAUGGACACUUUCAGUCACAGUUUGGUUGCAUUUCCUGACCACUUGGCUAAACAUGGGGCCAAGUAAGGAGAGCUGCUCUCUGGCCUGCCUCCACCUGCUCUAGUUUAGAUUGGACCUUGCCUACUUUGAAUGAAUUUUCAAUUCAGAAAUUCCAAAGAAGCUGUAAGCUGCAUUUCUUCAUUCGGUGGCUUGGGUCCUACUUUAUAUAUCUAUUGAUGGUGAGGUGCUGCAAGCUAAGCAAGUCAACAUUUAUAGUUUCUGGCCUGAUAGCUGGCUUCACCUCAAUUUACUUAAUAAAAAAAAGCUCAUUGUCGAGUAGUUAAAGAGAGGAACUUGCAAUCCUAGUUUUCAGAGCAGAUUUAUAAGGUUAUGUUGUCAAACAUGAAAUUUGUGUAUAGCUGAUUAUCUGCCUGGAGAGGAUCUGAACUAGAUUAUUGCGGUAGUACUUCAGACAUGGAUGCACAUGGGAAAUAUGUGCAUUCCCUUUUCUCACCGCAGGAUGAUAAUCUGCAGGGUACUUCUAUGUCCCUAUCCUAGCUUUAAUUUUGGGUGUUUCAAAUA
Eucalyptus grandis is the source of this 2038-nucleotide RNA transcript. RefSeq lists it as uncharacterized. The transcript is spliced from 13 exons. NCBI's taxonomy places the organism in Eukaryota, Viridiplantae, Streptophyta, Magnoliopsida, Myrtales, Myrtaceae. The record is from RefSeq and is a predicted model, not a curated record.